AUUAAAUUGCUUUCUAAUUUUGAUGUGAAUAUAUAAUUGCUGAAGAAGUUUCGUCCCAAACAGGUAAUAGUUCCACAUUUUACAUAACAUUAUUGGAAUAGCAGAUGGAAGACAGCAGUUUUCCAUUUUUUUUCCAGAUUAUUCUCUUUUACAGCUACAUUAUCAUCAUCUUCCCUAGACGUUGAGAAGCCAUUUUUGAUUAGAAGUGUCAAACUCAAACCCUGUAUAUAAGAUAAGGCCAAAGGUGAGAAGAGAGUUAAAAGGCCUUAAGGGGCGAUGACUAGUGGUAGUAUGGUUAGUAUUUGAAAGAGACUUAUUUGAAAGAGACUUACUCAUGAAAUUCCACUUGGAUUAUACCGGCGUCAGGAUCAGCGAUGGCAGAGAAAGCAUCUUGAGAAAGAUUAAUGAUUCCCUGGCAUCCUGCUUUACAGUAGUCAACAACUUUAACCACGACACUCUUACCGUUCUUGCAAGGAUGCGGAGCUUCGUUGGCUCCUCCUACGCAUUUAACUCUGUAUCUCUUCCCGCAUGCCCCUCUGUUUUUCCACAACGCAUCACUUACUCCCGCAACCAUUUUCCCAUUGUUUUGGUUACCAAAGCAUGCUGAGGCUGUUUACAUUAUGUUGUAUUAAAAUAUUUCAAAAGGAAAUGUAGAAACGGCUAAACCAAAUUUGGCUUGUUCUUUUGAUAUCAAUAUGAUUUAAUUACGAGAUUCAAUAAAAAAAAUGAGAUAUGAUAUAUAUGCCAAAUAAUUAUACUUACGAACAUAAGGAGGAGCAAAGAAAACAGCCUUCCCCUGGAUGGCACGCACGACGGAGGUAAGACACAAGACCAUGCUCACGACCACAAAAACUCUAAUCUCAAUCCCCAUCUCUUCCAGGAAAUUGAUCUUCCUCAGUUUAAAUGUUUAUUAUUUUUCAGGGUUGUCAUGCCUUUUAUAGGUCUAAAACUUGAAACUCUCCCAUUAAAAUAAAAUUUUAAUUCGAUACACUGAUCAUGCAUAAUUUUUAUAUAAUGUCAAUCAUCAUAAACUGUCACUUCAUUAUACAUGAAAAUUUAAAAAUAAAUAUUGAUAAUUUCUUUAAAAUUUAAUUAUAUAAAAAAAUAAAAUCAUGUUUAUUUCUCUCUCAACUUUCACUCAUCUAAUUUCUUCUUCUGCUUCCUUUUCUUCUUUCAAACCUGAUCUCGAAAGCCCGACAGAUGUUUUCCCGAUUUUAGGUACGGCACAUAAGAUGCUUAUUGCCACGUCGCGAGAGUCCGUGACUACCCGUACAUUACAUUCUGGACGUGUUUACAGUUACUCAUGUUCUAAGCAUGUAAUUUUCUUUAACAAUUUAUGACUAUAGUUCAUUACCCAAUUUUCAGUUUUAUGAAAUUUAAAAACCACCAAAAACAAAAAAUUAUCUCCACAUUACAGAGUCCUUAAAAUGAUGUGCUCUUUGUGAAAAUUCAAGUUAUGUACCGCCCGAUUUAAUGAUUCUCCUGAUGAGGAGAUACUGCAUCGUCUGCGCUCCAUAUAUAUCCCUCCUAUAUCAUGUUAUGAUUUAUUAAAAUUCUGGUAGAUGAAAGCUGUGGAACAGCUUAUCAAUGGAAGAAGAAGAGAGGGGCUUUAAUUUGAGAUAGGAGGGAAAGAUGGGUCCGAAAGAAGAAGGAAGAAGAGGAGACUAGAGAGAAAUAAAUUUGAUCGUAAAUAAAUAUUAAAGAAACUAUUAAUAUUUAUUUUUAAAUUUUUAAAAAUAUUAAAUUCGUAUAAUAAAGUAAUAUUUUAUGAUGACUUUAUAUAUUAUCAGUACAUUAAAUAUACACAUUUUAAAAUAAUAAUAUGACUAUUUACAUGCAGUGAGUUCUCCACUAACACUCAACUUUGAUCAAGAGUCAAGAGUCAGUCCACAAAUUAGUCAUCCUCUUGGAAAUUCUUGCUUCACCUACCCACUAGUCUUUGGUAAGAAAUUUCCUCCCGCUCCACUUGGCUAAUGCCUAAUCUUUCCAUCAAGGGUUUGGGACUGCGGAUAUGAUGUUUGGAUUUUUGUUGGAAUUGUUUCACAUCUUACUUGUUUUCAAUUUGGUAUGAUUUUCUGCUCUCUUUCGUGGCAGAAGCAAAGAAAUUCUAAAACAACUUGGGUGGAAAAAGAAGAGAGUAGAUACUGUACAUGUUAUAAAUUAGAGAGUGCUCCAAUCAACAAAAAGUGUAAAGAUUAAAAAGUCGCAAUCGUGGCAUUUGGCCCCAAUUUAAUUACCAUAUCGAGGGGUAAUUUUCAAUAUCUCAAAAGCAUAUAGAUUCCCAUUUACUUUUGAGGCUAAAUUCUUGAGGAAACUACAAAACGAAAAAAAAAAAACUUAUAAAACUGUUUAUUAAAAUUAAUAUAAAAGCACACUCACAAAUUAGAUGUCUUCAAAAUUUUGUAACAUAAUAUUUUUAAAAAAGGUAAAAUACACUUAUCUUUUAAGUUUUGAUUCAAAUUACAUAGAAAUCUAUUAGUUUUUAAAAUAUAACAAGAGUCCUUUUCUUACACUUGUUUUUGCUGGAGAAAAUUAUUCCGUCCAAAAAAAAUAUUUUUCGUUGGACACUUAGCUCCAACUUGUUAACGUUAUUUGCAUUUUUGAAAUGGAUUGUCUAUUCAAAAACAUAUAAACCCCGUUUGAAAUUUUGACUAAAACUUAAAAAGACUAACGGUAUUUUAUCCUUAAAAAAAACUCAAAUUAUUCAAAAAAAUUUUAAAAAAAUUUAAGAUGAAAUAUGUCAUGUGGUCAUGGCAUCAUAUCAUAUCAUUAUCUACUAUGACAUGACAACAUACCACCUUAUCAUAUAUUAUAACAUGUCAUCAAGUUGCGUCAACAUCAUAUGGUAUAGAAAAUGCAUUCAAGCAUUUGACUCAUUGAUUAAUAUAUGAUUUUCUUAUUUACAGAGUAUGGAUUUGAGUCUCUUUUUUUCAUAAAAAAAAAAAUUAGUCACAAGAUCUUUUUUGACUCAAAAUAAAAAUAUGAAGGCUUAAUUGAACGAAAAAAAAAGAAUAAAAACUUAUUUGAAUUUUUCAAAAUAGUUUAGAAACUCUUUUAGGUAUUAUGUUAAAAUUUUUUAAUGCAUAAAUGAGUUUGGAUAUGGGAUAUUUAAAUGAUGUUUGUUGUAUGGUUGAAGGCAUAACUGAAUCUAUAUGUCCAUGUCGCCGUUGACAAUGAGCCUGCAAAGAAUUUGUGCAUGAAAAGUGGUUUCAUUAAUGAAAAUGAUGAGCCUGCGUGGCAAGCUAGAUUUUUAGAUGGGCCCCGAUGGAUUCUAUUAUGGAUUGGUCUUCCUUGCACUAAUGAGUUGUAAUGUUAUGGCUUUUCCUUUUGCCUUUAGUACUUUAUUAUAAGUCCUGAUUCUGGUACAUGUUUAUAUAAUUUGGAAAACUCGCCCAUUUUAAAACGGAAUGUAAGCUUCUUGUACAUCACCAGGUAGGAAGUUUUAUCCAGAAAAAUAAAAUCUCACAAAAGACUAUCCAUUUGAAGGUUCAAGUUUAAACGCUGAGAAAGAGGUGGAUUUUAUGAAAGAAGAGAAUAACUAUUGGUUGUGUAGUUUAAAGCUUUAUGGGCAUCUGUCUGUAUAUAGGGAAAAAAAUUAAAGAAAAACAUAGCUCAUUUCCCUUUUGAUAAAAUGUGCUGCUAUUUAGCAUGGUGACAUGGAUACUUGCAGGAAAUUGUUGCCAGUGCAAUGUUGCUUGUUACAUUUUUGGACAAGGUCCGUGAAAAGAAUAAUUUAACUUUAGAUAUUUGCUCUUCAAAGGAUGGGGGCCGGGAUAAAUUGAAUUGCUUACUAAUUUUGAUGUGAAUAUGUAAUUGCUAAAGAAGUUUCGUCCCAAACAAGUAAUAGUUCCACAUUUUGCAUAACUAACUUUAUUGGAAUAGCAGAUGGAAGACAGCAGUUUUCCAUUUGUUCCAGAUUAUUCUCUUUCACAGCUACAUUAUCAUCAUCUUCCCUAGACGUUGAGAAGCCAUUUUUGAUUAGAAGCAUCAAACUCAAGCCCUGUAUAUAUG
Molecule: long non-coding RNA, 4011 nt
Filed under: Theobroma cacao (cacao)
Lineage: Eukaryota; Viridiplantae; Streptophyta; Magnoliopsida; Malvales; Malvaceae
Description: long non-coding RNA (TCAC_LNC005202)
Source: RNAcentral